GAUGAACGCUGGCGGCGUGCCUAAUACAUGCAAGUCGAGCGAACAGACGAGGAGCUUGCUCCUCUGACGUUAGCGGCGGACGGGUGAGUAACACGUGGAUAACCUACCUAUAAGACUGGGAUAACUUCGGGAAACCGGAGCUAAUACCGGAUAAUAUCUUGAACCGCAUGGUUCAAUAGUGAAAGACGGUUUUGCUGUCACUUAUAGAUGGAUCCGCGCCGCAUUAGCUAGUUGGUAAGGUAACGGCUUACCAAGGCAACGAUGCGUAGCCGACCUGAGAGGGUGAUCGGCCACACUGGAACGGGAACACGGUCCAGACUCCUACGGGAGGCAGCAGUAGGGAAUCUUCCGCAAUGGGCGAAAGCCUGACGGAGCAACGCGGCGUGAGUGAUGAAGGUCUUCGGAUCGUAAAACUCUGUUAUUAGGGAAGAACAAAUGUGUAAGUAACUAUGCACGUCUUGACGGUACCUAAUCAGAAAGCCACGGCUAACUACGUG
RNAcentral lists this ribosomal RNA (497 nucleotides) under uncultured bacterium. RNAcentral's name for it is "partial 16S ribosomal RNA". It matches the Rfam family "Bacterial small subunit ribosomal RNA", at positions 28 to 507 of the family's 1533-position model. The record is from RNAcentral.